UAGUCCACGCCGUAAACGAUGGACACUUGGUGUUGGAGGUAUUGACCCCUUCAGUGCCGAAGCUAACGCGUUAAGUGCCCCGCCUGGGGAGUACGGCCGCAAGGUUAAAACUCAAAGAAAUUGACGGGGGCCCGCACAAGUGGUGGAGCAUGUGGUUUAAUUCGAUGCAACGCGCAGAACCUUACCUAGAUUUGACAUAAACUGGAAGGGUGGCAGAAAUGUCCCCGCCCGCAAGGGCCGGUUUAC
Molecule: ribosomal RNA, 246 nt
Filed under: uncultured bacterium
Lineage: Bacteria
Description: partial 16S ribosomal RNA
Rfam family: Bacterial small subunit ribosomal RNA
Source: RNAcentral